This is a long non-coding RNA of Drosophila obscura, 866 nucleotides long. RefSeq lists it as uncharacterized. The transcript is spliced from 3 exons. Lineage: Eukaryota; Metazoa; Arthropoda; Insecta; Diptera; Drosophilidae. The record is from RefSeq and is a predicted model, not a curated record.
AGAGGCACGGCAAGCGAGACGAGAAAAGAGCAGCAGGCAGGGCAGAGGCAGAGGCAGAGCUGGCGCCAGGGCGCCACUGACGUAAUAAAAGAAAUAAUAGUAACGAUGUCGGCGGCGGCGGCGGCAUCGUCGGAAUGGCGCCACCAAUAUAAGCUUAUAUCAGACAGACACAGACGCAGACACAGAUACGAAGCAACGACGGUCGGUUUGUCAGCCGGUUUGACAAGUUGAAGAAUCAACAAUAUUUAAGGUUGCGGACGACGAGGCGAGAAGAUCGGAUCGGGCUAAAAACUCAUACAUAUUAUGUACAUAUGCUCAGUAUGCACAUGCGGUGGCCAAAAGAUAUAAGUACCGAAAACAAAUAAAUUUACAUAACAAAAAGAGACCGAUCUUCGUUUUUUCCCCGCACAUAGCGAAAAUUGUAGCUGACAUAGGAAGAAUUGGUCGAAAGCAAGACUUUAUUCAAGAAACGCAGAACAUCGAUGGUGCUGAAAUCUAUGUAUAUACAUACAUACUCCUACAUUUAAGCGUAUGUACAUACAUACAUACACUUAUCGUUUGACGACCGGCACGUUUUGAUACCCUUGUUCCUGUGGCAGCUGUAUGGUAACUUAUAGUGAUUCGAUUUUGUGUUAUUGCUAUUUCAUACAUACAUAUGUAUAUUAGAUAUAUUAGCUUUGUGAAAUCAUUUUAAGAAAACCCGAUUACAUUCAUAAAUCUAUUGAAAAAGAGAAGAGAACCGAAUUUACUUACUUUUGAUAUAGUGUUUAUCCACUGUAUCGUAUCCUUAGCUUUUUGUUGUAUUUGUAGAAGAUAUGUGUGUUGUAUGCAUAGAUAGGUUUAAUAAUAUACACAUGUAUUCUUGA